RNAcentral lists this unclassified non-coding RNA (530 nucleotides) under Hevea brasiliensis (rubber tree). Lineage: Eukaryota; Viridiplantae; Streptophyta; Magnoliopsida; Malpighiales; Euphorbiaceae. The record is from RNAcentral.
UCAUUUUUAUCAUCAAUGUAGAUUGAAAAUCCAACAGUCUUAGGCCUUUUGUUUCCUCCUGUUGAUGUUGAUUCUCCUUCUCUUCCCAUACAUCUUCCUGCUUGUUGCCCUUUUGUAACAAUUGAAGUAUCAUCACCUCCUCUCCCCCUACCUUCUCCCCUACCUCUUUCAGCUUAUUAAACUCUUCCAACAAUUGAAGUAUCAUCACAAAUAGAGGUUGAUUGUGGCCUGAGUUGACAUGUUGUAAUGGUUACCAUGAGGUGGAUGGCUUGAACCUACAUGUUGUCCUGAGCUUGGUGGUUGGCCAAUACCUACAGGUUGCCUUGAGCAUGCAGGUUGCCUUGAGCUUUGAGGCUGACAUGAGCUAGCAGGUUGGCUUGACCUUCCAGGUCCAGGCUGGGUGAGCUUCCAAGCUGACAUGAGCUAGCAGGUUGGCUUGACCUUCCAGGUCCAGGCUGGGUGAGCUUCCAAGCUGACAUGAGCUAGCAGGUUGGCUUGACCUUCCAGGUCCAGGCUGGGUGAGCUUCCAA